GGUCACACCCGUUCCCAUACCGAACACGGAAGUUAAGCUCUCUAGCGCCGAUGGUAGUUGGGACCUUGUCCCUGUGAGAGUAGGACGUUGCC
This 92-nucleotide ribosomal RNA is filed under the name Bacillus rhizoplanae. Lineage: Bacteria; Bacillati; Bacillota; Bacilli; Caryophanales; Bacillaceae. The record is from RNAcentral.